UCGCACUCUCCUAAUGACAUCACUCACCAUAAUGAUGCUCCUGUCUUAAAUUAUAUAGUGAAGUGAAAAAGAAUGAAAGCUGUCUAGACCAGGGGUGAAAAGAAUACUCAUAAUUUUUCUCCUGCUCAGUAAGGAAUGACACAUUGAGAUGCCCCAUGAGAAAAUGAUCAUUCCGUGCAAGAGUUUUGGAAUUUUGAGUUUCUGAACCAUUACUUUUUUUUAAAAAAAAAUCAUUUGAUUACAUACAUACACAUAGAACUUGGGUUGUUGUGAGUAUUCCGGGCUGUAUGGCCAUGUUCCAGAAACAUUCCCUCCUGACAUUUUGCUCACAUCUAUGGCAGUCAUCCUCAGAGGUUGAGGGGUCUGUUGGAAACUAAGUAAGUGGGGUUUAUAUAUCUGUGGAAUAAUGUCCAGGGUGGGAGAAAGAACUCUUGUCUCUUGCCAUUCAGUGCUAAUCAAGGUGGCCAAUUGCAACAGACAUGAGUUCUUUCUCCCACCCUGGACAUUAUUCCACCGAUAUAUAAACCCCACUUGCCUAGUUUCCAACAGACCUCACUGUUUCUCAUCUCAGUGCCUUUGGAAAACAAGCAUUCAGGACCACUUAGAAUAACCAUGCUUAUUUCCCUUUAUCUUGCCAGAGAAAAGACUGCCACGAACCCGAGGAGGGAGGCAGACCUACAGCGAAGCUUGAAAAAUCAACAACCGCCGCUUUAUCAUUUCCGACUCUGACUUAGUGCCACAGUUUACUUUUGUAGCUUGCCAGGCGAGGCCUUAUUGAUCAUAUUGCUGCUGGCAGAAAAUGAAAAUCCCGCCUGAUCAAAAGGCCGCGAAGAGGCUCUCCAAGGAGGAGGCUUGAAAGCCUACGGAGAUCUGGAGAAUAGCUGGAAAUUCAGAAGGAUGUGCCGUUUUGAUCUCUUUUUGAUUCUUGUGACCUGGAUGUUUGAAGAGGGUGAAUAGCAGGACUUUAUUUUGCAAUGAAGAUGGAUCAUAUAUUUUAUUUUAUUCUUUUGAAAGCUAGCAUGGCCUAUCUGUCAGGGAUGCUUUCCUGCAUGGCAGAGAGUUAGACUAGAUGUCCCAUGUGGUCUAUUAUUCUAUGAUUCUAUGGCAGGCAUGGGCAAGCUUUGUCUCUCGAGGUGUUUUGGACUCCAACUCCCACCAUUCCUAACAGCCUCAGGCCCCUUCCUUUUCCCUCUCAGCCGCUUAAGCAUGGCAUAGAGGUUUGAACAACUCUGGAGCAUGGUUCAAAUCUCCAUUUGUCCACAAAGUCAUUUUUAAAGCGAUUUUUGCAGUGCACCUACUACAAAAAUUAAAUUAAAAAGAGAGAACUGAACAUAGGAGAAAACCAAUAUUGGAAUCCAAAUUAAAACAGCACCCUGGAGAGCGAAAUGCUCAUUUUAAGAGUAGACCGAACCAGCAAAACCUUUGUUCGGUUCUCUUUUUAUCUUCCUUCAUGGGUCGUGUCUUAUCCAUAUAUCUUUGGAAUAUACCGUAGGCUUUAAAAUCGGAUGCUGCUCCGAUUAGGAGAACUCGAUUAGAAGGGGCCGAGCUGUGGCGCAGCUGGCUAGUAACCAGCUGCUAUAAAUCACUACUGACCGAGAGGUCAUGAGUUCGAAGCCCGGGUCGGGCUAAGCCUCCGACCAUUAAUAGCCCCGGCUUGCUGUUGACCUAUGCAGCCCCGAAAGACAGUUGCACCUGUCAAUUAGGGAAAUUUAGGGACGCUUUAUGCGGGAGGCUAAUUUACAACACCAUAAAACUGCCAGUAAAACACGAGGAAAGGAAUGAGGAAGUACAGCCACUACUGGACGGUGAAGCAACAGCUCCCCCUGUGGCCGGAAUCGUGAAGCUGGAAAAAUGUUAAAAAUGCCUCUGAGUCUGUCUAAUGUAUGUUGUUUGUCUGUUGGCAUUGAAUGUUUGCCAUAUAUGUGUUCAUUGUAAUCCGCCCUGAGUCCCCUUCGGGGUGAGAAGGGCGGAAUAUAAAUACUGUAAAUAAAUAAACUCCAGCUGUAUUUUCCAGUGCAAAU
This 2021-nucleotide long non-coding RNA is filed under the name Anolis carolinensis (green anole). RNAcentral describes it as "lncRNA (ENSACAG00000035080.1)". Lineage: Eukaryota; Metazoa; Chordata; Lepidosauria; Squamata; Anolidae. The record is from RNAcentral.